GACGAACGCUGGCGGCGUGCCUAACACAUGCAAGUCGAACGGAGCACUUCGGUGCUUAGUGGCGAACGGGUGAGUAACGCGUGAGCAACCUACCUUUCAGUGGGGGACAACAGUUGGAAACGACUGCUAAUACCGCAUGAUGUCAUCGAGGGACAUCCCUUGGUGACCAAAGCUUUAUGUGCUGAAAGAUGGGCUCGCGUCUGAUUAGCUAGAUGGCGGGGUAACGGCCCACCAUGGCGACGAUCAGUAGCCGGACUGAGAGGUUGAACGGCCACAUUGGGACUGAGACACGGCCCAGACUCCUACGGGAGGCAGCAGUGGGGAAUAUUGCACAAUGGGCGAAAGCCUGAUGCAGCAACGCCGCGUGAGGGAAGACGGUUUUCGGAUUGUAAACCUCUGUCUUUGGUGAAGAAUACGUGACGGUACCUGCAGAAAAGCAACGGCUAACUACGUG
Molecule: ribosomal RNA, 454 nt
Filed under: uncultured bacterium
Lineage: Bacteria
Description: bacterial SSU rRNA
Rfam family: Bacterial small subunit ribosomal RNA
Source: RNAcentral